UAAAAUUAAAAAAUAAAAAUAAAAUUACAGUUGUCCUCAGCAAGUUUUCAUGCCUUCAUAACAUUGUAUAAUAGUUUCAUUGUCAUUCUUAUAGAAAAUAUAUUUCUCAAAGUAUGUGAUCAAACAAUCGACCAUCCAUUGAUUUCCAAUUCUAUUACGUAACCGAUUGUUCACAAUUUUCAUAGUAGAAAAUGCGUUUCAAAGAACGUAGUUGCAACAAGUGAGACCAGAGUCAAAAAUUAUAACCUUGUAAACUAACGAACUUAAAAUGUGCUUCUUUGCCUUUACCAUUUUCUCAACAAGAUCACAUUUGAAAACUCACAAU
Molecule: unclassified non-coding RNA, 325 nt
Filed under: Hevea brasiliensis (rubber tree)
Lineage: Eukaryota; Viridiplantae; Streptophyta; Magnoliopsida; Malpighiales; Euphorbiaceae
Source: RNAcentral